This 253-nucleotide ribosomal RNA is filed under the name uncultured bacterium. Its description in RNAcentral is "partial 16S ribosomal RNA". It matches the Rfam family "Bacterial small subunit ribosomal RNA", at positions 524 to 776 of the family's 1533-position model. The record is from RNAcentral.
UACGAAGGGGGCUAGCGUUGCUCGGAAUGAUUGGGCGUAAAGCGUCCGCAGGUGGCAGUUCAAGUCUGCUGUCAAAGACCGGGGCUUAACUUCGGAAAGGCAGUGGAAACUGAACAGCUAGAGUAUGGUAGGGGCAGAGGGAAUUCCUGGUGUAGCGGUGAAAUGCGUAGAUAUCAGGAAGAACAUCGGUGGCGAAGGCGCUCUGCUGGACCAUAACUGACACUCAGGGACGAGAGCUAGGGGAGCGAAUGGG